GUAUAUAUAUAUAUAUAUAUAUAUAUAUAUAUUUAGGGACGUGAUGCCUAGGUAGGCAAGGUAAGCAGCGCCUAUCUUGAAUAAAAUAGAUCGCUAGUAACAUUUUCCUUUUAUGGUAAAAUAUGCAUCUAAUUCAAUAAAAUUUAUGAAGGUUAC
Octopus sinensis (East Asian common octopus) is the source of this 156-nucleotide long non-coding RNA. RefSeq lists it as uncharacterized. NCBI's taxonomy places the organism in Eukaryota, Metazoa, Mollusca, Cephalopoda, Octopoda, Octopodidae. The record is from RefSeq and is a predicted model, not a curated record. The transcript is spliced from 3 exons.